CAGCCGCCACGGUAAUACGGAGGGCGCGAGCGUUACCCGGAUUUACUGGGCGUAAAGGGCGUGUAGGCGGCCUGGGGCGUCCCAUGUGAAAGGCCACGGCUCAACCGUGGAGGAGCGUGGGAUACGCUCAGGCUAGAGGGUGGGAGAGGGUGGUGGAAUUCCCGGAGUAGCGGUGAAAUGCGCAGAUACCGGGAGGAACGCCGAUGGCGAAGGCAGCCACCUGGUCCACUUCUGACGCUGAGGCGCGAAAGCGUGGGGAGCAAACCGGAUUAGAUACCCGGGUAGUCCCUGUCUCUUAUAC
RNAcentral lists this ribosomal RNA (301 nucleotides) under uncultured bacterium. RNAcentral describes it as "partial 16S ribosomal RNA". It matches the Rfam family "Bacterial small subunit ribosomal RNA", at positions 509 to 807 of the family's 1533-position model. The record is from RNAcentral.